UACUUGACACAACUUUCAAUCAAAGCAUUCAUCGAGCUGAAAGAAGCCUCGUGCAACUUCCCUGAUUUAUGUUCAUUUCCAGAUGAUGAGGAAGCAGCUUUUCGGACAUCUGCUAAUUUCCUACCGUCUUCAACAGUCUCACAGUUCUCUUCUUCAGGAACAGUAGCAGGGGAUCCAUCCCCCUCAUCAGACCCAGUAAGCACCUCUUUGAAAUCAUUGCUUUGCCAUGACUCAUUAUUUACAUCAGACAAAAUAUUAGCUCGAUAAGCAUCAUUCUUUUCCUUCAAGUUACGAUCAAACUGGUCAUGCUUCUCCGAAAACACUGGAGAAGAAGCUCUACUAUUCAUGACUGAAGGGUCUUCAAAAGAUCCUCCACUGGCACUUUGUGCAGGGCUACGACCUCUGUUAGGUAUUUUAACAAUCAAUUUGUGAUUAUUACCCUCUCCCAAGGGAACAUCAACUGCCUUCUCACAUGUCAAACUGGAUUGAGAUAACUUUUCAGCGCCCUGGCUUCUGUGCAAGGAAGAAUUCCUACUUGACGCAGUUUCCCUUUGGAUCCCAGAUAAGGUUGGACCUUGGACGCCAUUGAGUGAUUUGCGAUGUCGAGAAGAACCACCAAUGGCUUUAUUUGCAGUCAUUGAAACAGCAGUUGAGCUCCUAGCGUCCUCCUUCCCAGAAACCCCCCCAGUUUUGGCAUGGUCGCUGGAACAAGAUUGACUAUUGUUGUGGGACUGACUAGAACUGCUGCUUUUCUCCUCCCUCAAAGAUAAGUUAGGAAUUUCAGAGGCACCACUUACACCAAUAUUACGGGUGUGUCCUUCUUUUAAGCUAUUACCAGCUGAUGCAGGAGAUGGCACUGAUUUCAUGGGUCCUAGAGAGGCAGAUGCAGACUUGGUUGUAGUCUCCCCCUGUACAAGCUUGACUGGAGCAUUUUUUGAAGCUGAAAGUUGUGCAG
Molecule: unclassified non-coding RNA, 955 nt
Filed under: Hevea brasiliensis (rubber tree)
Lineage: Eukaryota; Viridiplantae; Streptophyta; Magnoliopsida; Malpighiales; Euphorbiaceae
Source: RNAcentral